AAAUGAAUAGACGGGGGCCCGCACAAGCGGUGGAGCAUGUGGUUUAAUUCGAGGCAACGCGAAGAACCUUACCCAGGCUUGACAUCCCGGGAAUCCCCUGGAAACAGGGGAGUGCCCUUCGGGGAACCCGGUGACAGGUGUUGCAUGGCUGUCGUCAGCUCGUGUCGUGAGAUGUUGGGUUAAGUCCCGCAACGAGCGCAACCCUUGUCCUUAGUUACCAGCGGUUCGGCCGGGAACUCUAAGGAGACUGCCGGUGAUAAGCCGGAGGAAGGUGGGGAUGACGUCAAGUCAUCACGGCCCUUACGCCUGGGGCUACACACGUGCUACAAUGGCCGGUACAAUGGGCUGCGAUACCGCGAGGUGGAGCAAAUCCCAAAAAGCCGGUCUCAGUUCAGAUUGCAGUCUGCAACUCGACUGCAUGAAGCCGGAAUCGCUAGUAAUCGCGCAUCAGCUACGGCGCGGUGAAUACGUUCCCGGGCCUUGUACACACCGCCCGU
RNAcentral lists this ribosomal RNA (497 nucleotides) under uncultured bacterium. RNAcentral's name for it is "bacterial SSU rRNA". It matches the Rfam family "Bacterial small subunit ribosomal RNA", at positions 903 to 1397 of the family's 1533-position model. The record is from RNAcentral.